UUAAGUGACUAAGCGUACACGGUGGAUGCCUUGGCAGUCAGAGGCGAUGAAAGACGUAGUAACUUGCGAUAAGCCCAGAUUAGGUAGUAACAACCAUUUGAGUCUGGGAUUUCUGAAUGGGAAACCCACGUGCAUAAGCACGUAUCCUUACCUGAAUACAUAGGGUAAGGAGGCGAACCGGGGGAACUGAAACAUCUAAUACCCCGAGGAAAAGAAAUCAACCGAGAUUCCGAAAGUAGCGGCGAGCGAAAUUGGACUAGCCCUUAAGCUUUACACGCGUUAGACGAACGGUCUGGAAAGUCCGACGAUACAGGGUGAUAGUCCCGUAGUUGACGACGUGUGUUCAGUGAAAUCGAGUAGGGCGGGACACGUGAUAUCCUGUCUGAAUAUGGGGGACCAUCCUCCAAGGCUAAAUACUACUGACUGACCGAUAGUGAACCAGUACCGUGAGGGAAAGGCGAAAAGAACCCUGUGAGGGGAGUGAAAUAGAACCUGAAACCGUGUACGUACAAGCAGUAGGAGCAGGCUUUGUCCUGUGACUGCGUACCUUUUGUAUAAUGGGUCAGCGACUUAUAUUCAGUGGCAAGGUUAACCAUCUAGGGGAGCCGUAGGGAAACCGAGUCUUAACUGGGCGUUCAGUCUCUGGAUAUAGACCCGAAACCAGGUGAUCUAGCCAUGGGCAGGUUGAAGGUUGAGUAACAUCAACUGGAGGACCGAACCGACUAAUGUUGAAAAAUUAGCGGAUGACUUGUGGCUAGGGGUGAAAGGCCAAUCAAACCUGGAGAUAGCUGGUUCUCCCCGAAAGCUAUUUAGGUAGCGCCUCGGACGAAUACUACUGGGGGUAGAGCACUGUUAAGGCUAGGGGGUCAUCCCGACUUACCAACCCUUUGCAAACUCCGAAUACCAGUAAGUACUAUCCGGGAGACACACGGCGGGUGCUAACGUCCGUCGUGGAGAGGGAAACAACCCAGACCGCCAGCUAAGGUCCCAAAUUACUACUAAGUGGGAAACGAUGUGGGAAGGCUCAGACAGCCAGGAUGUUGGCUUAGAAGCAGCCAUCAUUUAAAGAAAGCGUAAUAGCUCACUGGUCGAGUCGGCCUGCGCGGAAGAUGUAACGGGGCUAAGUAGUAAACCGAAGCUGCGGCAAUGUGCUUUUGCACAUUGGGUAGGGGAGCGUUCUGUAAGCGGUUGAAGGUGUGUGGUAACGCAUGCUGGACGUAUCAGAAGUGCGAAUGCUGACAUGAGUAACGAUAAAGGGGGUGAAAAACCUCCUCGCCGGAAGACCAAGGGUUCCUGUCCAACGUUAAUCGGGGCAGGGUAAGUCGACCCCUAAGGCGAGGCCGAAAGGCGUAGUCGAUGGGAAACGGGUUAAUAUUCCCGUACUUCUUACAAUUGCGAUGGGGGGACGGAGAAGGCUAGGUGGGCCUGGCGACGGUUGUCCAGGUUCAAGUGCGUAGGCUUGAGAGUUAGGUAAAUCCGGCUCUUUUUAAGGCUGAGACACGACGUCGAGCACCUACGGGUGUGAAGUCAUUGAUGCCAUGCUUCCAGGAAAAGCCUCUAAGCUUCAGAUUGUAAGGAAUCGUACCCCAAACCGACACAGGUGGUCGGGUAGAGAAUACCAAGGCGCUUGAGAGAACUCGGGUGAAGGAACUAGGCAAAAUGGUACCGUAACUUCGGGAGAAGGUACGCUCUCGACGGUGAAGUCCCUCGCGGAUGGAGCUAUUGAGAGUCGCAGAUACCAGGUGGCUGCAACUGUUUAUUAAAAACACAGCACUGUGCAAAAUCGUAAGAUGACGUAUACGGUGUGACGCCUGCCCGGUGCCGGAAGGUUAAUUGAUGGGGUUAGACUUCGGUCGAAGCUCUUGAUCGAAGCCCCGGUAAACGGCGGCCGUAACUAUAACGGUCCUAAGGUAGCGAAAUUCCUUGUCGGGUAAGUUCCGACCUGCACGAAUGGCGUAAUGAUGGCCACGCUGUCUCCACCCGAGACUCAGUGAAAUUGAAAUCGCUGUGAAGAUGCAGUGUACCCGCGGCUAGACGGAAAGACCCCGUGAACCUUUACUACAGCUUGGCACUGAACAUUGACCCUACAUGUGUAGGAUAGGUGGGAGGCUUUGAAGCACGUACGCCAGUAUGUGUGGAGCCGUCCUUGAAAUACCACCCUUGUAGUGUUGAUGUUCUAACGUCGACCCCUUAUCGGGGUUGCGGACAGUGCCUGGUGGGUAGUUUGACUGGGGCGGUCUCCUCCCAAAGAGUAACGGAGGAGCACGAAGGUGGGCUAAUCACGGUUGGACAUCGUGAGGUUAGUGCAAUGGCAUAAGCCCGCUUGACUGCGAGAAUGACAAUUCGAGCAGGUGCGAAAGCAGGUCAUAGUGAUCCGGUGGUUCUGAAUGGAAGGGCCAUCGCUCAACGGAUAAAAGGUACUCCGGGGAUAACAGGCUGAUACCGCCCAAGAGUUCAUAUCGACGGCGGUGUUUGGCACCUCGAUGUCGGCUCAUCACAUCCUGGGGCUGAAGUCGGUCCCAAGGGUAUGGCUGUUCGCCAUUUAAAGUGGUACGCGAGCUGGGUUUAGAACGUCGUGAGACAGUUCGGUCCCUAUCUGCCGUGGGCGUUGGAAGAUUGAAGGGGGCUGCUCCUAGUACGAGAGGACCGGAGUGGACGAACCUCUGGUGUUCGGGUUGUGUCGCCAGACGCAUUGCCCGGUAGCUAAGUUCGGAAUCGAUAACCGCUGAAAGCAUCUAAGCGGGAAGCGAGCCCUGAGAUGAGUCUUCCCUGAUACUUUAAGUAUCCUAAAGGGUUGUCGGAGACUACGACGUUGAUAGGUCAGGUGUGUAAGUGCUGUGAGGCAUUGAGCUAACUGAUACUAAUUGCCCGUGAGGCUUAACCAU
This 2885-nucleotide ribosomal RNA is filed under the name Vibrio parahaemolyticus NIHCB0603. Its description in RNAcentral is "bacterial LSU rRNA". It matches the Rfam family "Bacterial large subunit ribosomal RNA". The record is from RNAcentral. Lineage: Bacteria; Pseudomonadati; Pseudomonadota; Gammaproteobacteria; Vibrionales; Vibrionaceae.